RNAcentral lists this ribosomal RNA (354 nucleotides) under uncultured bacterium. RNAcentral's name for it is "bacterial SSU rRNA". It matches the Rfam family "Bacterial small subunit ribosomal RNA", at positions 917 to 1269 of the family's 1533-position model. The record is from RNAcentral.
GGACCCGCACAAGCAGUGGAGCAUGUGGUUUAAUUCGACGCAACGCGAAGAACCUUACCAGCGUUUGACAUGGGAAGUACCGGUUACAGAAUGGUAACCUUCAGUUCGGCUGGCUUCCGCACAGGUGCUGCAUGGCUGUCGUCAGCUCGUGUCGUGAGAUGUUGGUUAAGUCCCGCAACGAGCGCAACCCUUAUCGUUAGUUACUAACAGUUCGGCUGAGGACUCUAGCGAAACUGCCGGUGAUAAGCCGGAGGAAGGUGGGGAUGACGUCAAGUCCUCAUGGCCCUUACACGCUGGGCUACACACGUGCUACAAUGGUAACUACAACGGGACGCAAUACCGCGAGGUGGAGCA